Molecule: ribosomal RNA, 4275 nt
Filed under: Triticum aestivum (bread wheat)
Lineage: Eukaryota; Viridiplantae; Streptophyta; Magnoliopsida; Poales; Poaceae
Description: partial small subunit ribosomal RNA
Source: RNAcentral
AAGCUGUCCAGCUCAAGCAGGAGCGAUAGACAGCAGCGGCAGGAGAAAAGUAGCUGGAGACCUGGAGUGGAAGGCUCCGUUCACCCGGUAGCUAGCUCAGGUCAAGCUAAGAUGAUAAGGCGUGAGCGCUGCUGACAGUACGGUGUGUGGCGCAAACCUGCGGUAAAAACUGCAUUUAAACCGCUGGGGAAAUACAGUGCUAGCCGAGCAUUUGAAACGUAUGCAUACAAACCACCUACCGGCAAAGCCAAGCUGCCGUUUUGCGCGCUCCUGUCGACGGGCAGAGGUACGCUACUCUCUCUGUUCUUGAUCACUUCUUGCGUGUGAAAAUUUACACACCCUGUAGAGGUAUUAGUAACUGAGCACACCCUAGUAACUGAGCACAAGUUAGGAUGUCUGGAUCAUAUUGAAAUUCCAUAGCCUUACUUCUAUGUUUUGGCGUGGUUUGCCAUGUAGAUCCGCCGGUGAACAUGAUAGAUAAGCUGCCAUGUCUGUGCUCUGUAUUUUUGGUUUUUGCAGGUAACACGUAGUACGUACAGGUACAGGGCUCCUUCAUGUCUGUGACGAGACUCAGCAUGGUUAAUCUGCUGGCGUUUUUGCUGCUGCUGUUCUAUGGAGCUGGCAACAUCAAUUGCUCAACAGUCAAUCACGAGAACAGUAGAGACAUGCGCUCGUUGCUGGAUUUCAAAGCGGCUACCAACGACCCAACAGAUGCCUUGAGAUCCUGGGACAGAAGCGUCCACUACUGCAACUGGACGGGUGUCAUUUGCAGCUCAUUGUGUCCAGGGCGUGUCGCCGCUCUGCAACUCGCCGGCCAAAGCUUGUCUGGCGAGAUCACCCCCUCUCUUGGGAACUUAACGUUCCUUAAGGUCCUCAACUUGUCCUCCAAUGGCUUCUCAGGCCAGUUAACUCCCCUAAACCUAAACCAACUCCAUGAGCUGGUCCUCCUUGACCUCAGCUCCAAUUCAUUCCAGGGGACGAUUCCUGACUCACUCAUGAAUUGUUCAAAACUACAGUAUCUAGUUCUUUCUGGAAACAUGCUAGAAGGUCCAAUCCCCAAGAAAAUUGGUUCUCUUUAUAAUCUAUUAGGCUUAGGCCUUUCUAGGAAUAAUCUUAUUGGGGUCAUCCCACUAACCAUCAGCAACUCCACCCAGUUAGAACAACUUAGCCUUGAAGAAAAUCAACUAGGGGGGAGCAUUCCUGAUGUGUUUGGGCAAUGGUCCAAGAUGUUGGAAUUGUCCGUAGGUGAAAAUAGGCUCUCAGGUCGAAUACCACCUUCAAUCUUUAAUCUGACUUCGCUUCAAAUAUUAGAUUUGUAUGCAAAUAAGCUACAAGGGGAAUUGCUGCUUGACAUUGGCGAUACCCUCCCUGAAAUCAUAAUUUUUACGCUGGGCCAGAACAUUCUUGAAGGUCACAUCCCAGCUUCCCUAGGAAACGCUUCACGGCUGCAAGUGAUAGAUUUGUCUUCUAACAGUUUCGUUGGAGAAAUUCCUACUUUCGGAAAGCUACUAAACCUUAUGAACAUGAACCUUGGAUAUAAUAUGCUUGAAUCAAGUGAAAGCCAAAGAUGGGAAUCCUUGUAUGGACUAACAAACUGUAGUAAUCUAUAUGCGCUAACAUUAGAUAGUAAUCAGCUGCAAGGAGCCAUACCAGAUUUGGUCGGUAGGUUAUCCACUAAACUCAGACGUCUACACAUGGGUGGAAACAAUCUGUCGGGAAUAGUUCCUUUAAGCCUAGCAAACCUUAGUAGCAUAAUCGAUUUGGAUCUUAGCAACAACAAUUUAACUGGUACAGUCGAAGGAUGGUUAGGGAGUCUCAAAAACUUACAAUCUUUAGAUCUUCAUGGAAAUAAUUUCAUUGGAUCCAUUCCACCAUCUUUUGGCAACCUUUCAGAACUGACAAUACUUUCUUUAGCACAAAAUGAAUUUAAAGGUCACAUACCUCCCACAUUAGGAAAACUUUCACAACUCUCAAGGCUGGACCUUAGCUAUAAUAAUCUGCAAGGUGACAUACCUCCAGAAAUUAGUGAGCUUAAACAACUCAUUGCACUAUACCUCUCUUCUAGCAGACUCUCGGGAAAAAUUCCUGAUGAUCUGGGCAAGUGUCAGGGCCUCGUAACCAUCCAAAUGGACCACAAUAAUCUCACGGGCGUCAUUCCAACCUCUUUAGGCAACCUUUUGAGCUUGUACAUGCUCAACCUGUCCUAUAAUGAUUUAUCAGGUGCCAUCCCAACAGUUCUAAGUGACCUUCAACUUCUUAGCAAGUUAGACCUAUCAUAUAAUCGUCUCCAAGGAGCACUCCCAAGAAAUGGAGUGUUUGAGCACCCUGCAAACGUUUCACUUGAUGGCAACCAGGGACUUUGUGGACGGGCAACCGGUUUCCAUGUGCCCUCAUGCCCAGAUGCCUCGCCGAGAACAGGAAGACAUUAUCGUUUGCUUACGGUGUUGAUCCCAAUAAUUGGCUUCCUGUCGCUGGCACUGUUGACUUGCUUUAUAAUCCAUGAGAAGAUACCACAAGCAACGUUUUCAUUGUUGCCUUCUCUUAGGGAGAAAUUCCCUAGAGUUUCUUACUGGGAUCUAGCUCGAGCGACAGGCAACUUCUCUGAGAUUAACUUGAUUGGCGAAGGAAGUUACAGUUCAGUGUACAAAGGAAAGUUGAGACAAGUUAAAACGGAAAUAGCAGUCAAGAUACUUGACCUUGACAUUCCAGGUGCCGAAGGAAGUUUUGCAUUAGAAUGCAAAGCGUUGAGAGGCAUCCGUCACAGAAACAUUGUUCCUCUCAUAACUGAAUGCUCUGCAAUCGACAACAAAGGCAAUGCUUUCAGAGCUCUAAUCUAUGCUUUCAUGCCCAAUGGCAACUUGGAUACUUGGUUGCAUCAUCAAGGGAAUCAGGCAGCUGCAAGGCAUUUAAGCUUAGCUCAAAGAAUAAACAUCGCUAUUAACAUAGCUGAUGCAUUGGACUAUCUGCACCAUGAUACUUGGAGGCCCAUCAUCCAUUGUGAUUUGAAGCCGAGUAACAUACUCCUAGACAUUCAUAUGAAUGCCUGUCUGGGAGACUUUGGCAUCGCAAGGUUCUACAUUGAUUCUAAACUAAGAACGGUCGGAGAUUCAAGUUCAAUUGCUGCAAACGGCACUCUGGGAUAUAUGGCUCCAGGAUUUGUGGUGUUCCAUCUUCGUGGAGUGAUUGUUGACGUUGGAGGUGUUGGUCCACGAUCGUCCGUCUCCUUUGAUCGACUACAUCGGAGGAGAUGGCAGAUAAUCAGUGGAUGUAUAGUGGGUUUUUCCGUCGGAAUCAAGUAACAACAGAGUGGAUCGAGAAAACUGAUGUGUUUUUGAAAGAGAUAUUCCGUAGUCCAAUGAGGAUGGUGCCAGAAUGCCCGUGUGCCAGAUGUAAGAGGCGUAUUCGCAGAGAUAAGAGUGAGAUGACUAAGCACCUUCGCACGCAUGGAUUUAUGCCCAACUUUAAUAUGCCGAUAAACUUUGCCCAGCGGGACCGUGGUAGAGAGGAUGUGAUACGACAACGUGUCGCUGGUUAUGAGGACGAUGGGGUUAGAGACAUGCUAGAUGAUGUCUUUGCUGCACAGCCGACACCUCCGUCACAUUCAACGAAUGAACCGGAGGAGCCGGAGGAAACCGCAAAGGCCUUCCUGGAAAUCUUGGCCUCGUCAAAGAAACCUCUCUAUGAGGGUGCCAAGCUGUCUGUGCUGGAUGCCAUCUCGCAACUGAUGGCAGUCAAGGCUGAGUAUGGCUGUAGCCGAGGUUGCUUCGAAGCAUUUCUGGGAGUAUGGGCUAACAGCCUGCCUGAGGGCCAUGAACUGCCGAAAACCAUGUACGGUACGAAGAAAAUCAUGAAGGCGCUCUCGAUGGACUAUGAGAAAAUACAUGUUUGUCCAAAGAAUUGCCUUUUGUUUAGGCAUGAAUAUGCGGAUGACAAGUACUGUAGGAAGUGCGGUUCCUCUCGGUAUAUUGAGGUGGUCGAUAAGCAUGGUCAGAAGCAGCAGCUAAAAAUCCCUGUGAAGGUUCUUCGGUAUCUUGAUUUUAUAAAAAGACUGCAGCGCCUUUUCAUCACCGAGGAGUCUGCCAAAAUGAUGAAGUGGCACAAGGAAGGGAAAAGGUACAAUCCAAAAAAAAUUGUACAUCCAUCAGGAGGUGAAGCAUGGAAGUCAUUCGAUAUAGAGUACCCGAAGGAAGCAGCCGAGGCUGGGAAUGUCAGAAUUGCUAUAACAGGUGAUGGGUUCAAUCCAUAUGGUAUGUCAUCUAAUCCAUACAGCUGUUG